Molecule: ribosomal RNA, 253 nt
Filed under: uncultured bacterium
Lineage: Bacteria
Description: partial 16S ribosomal RNA
Rfam family: Bacterial small subunit ribosomal RNA
Source: RNAcentral
UACGGAGGGUGCAAGCGUUAAUCGGAAUUACUGGGCGUAAAGCGCACGUAGGUGGUUUGUUAAGCUAGCUGUGAAAUCCCCGGGCUCAACCUGGGCACUGCAGUUAGAACUGGCAAGCUAGAGUAGGGUAGAGGGGUGUGGAAUUCCAGGUGUAGCGGUGAAAUGCGUAGAUAUCUGGAGGAACAUCAGUGGCGAAGGCGACACCCUGGACUCAUACUGACACUGAGGUGCGAAAGCGUGGGGGGCAAACAGG